GACGAACGCUGGCGGCGUGCCUAAUACAUGCAAGUUGAGCGCUGAAGGUUGGUACUUGUACCAACUGGGUGAGCAGCGAACGGGUGAGUAACGCGUGGGGAAUCUGCCUUUGAGCGGGGUACAACAUUUGGAAACGAAUGCUAAUACCGCAUAAAAACUUUAAACACAAGGUUGAAGGUAGAAAGAUGCAAUUGCGUCACUCAAAGACGAUUCCGCGUUGUAUUAGCUAGUUGGUGAGGUAAAGGGGCACCAAGGCGAUGAUAGAUAGCCGACCUGAGAGGGGGGUCAGCCACAUUGGGACUGAGACACGCCCCAAACUCAUACGGGAGGCAGCAGUAGGGAAUCUUCGGCAAUGGACGAAAGUCUUACCGCGCAACGCCGCGUUCGUGAAGAAGGUUUUCGGAUCGGAAAACUCUGUUGGUAGAGAAGAACGUUGGUGAGAGUGGAAAGCUCAGCAAGUGACGGUAACUACUCAGAAAGGGACGGCUAACUACGUG
This 497-nucleotide ribosomal RNA is filed under the name uncultured bacterium. RNAcentral describes it as "partial 16S ribosomal RNA". It matches the Rfam family "Bacterial small subunit ribosomal RNA", at positions 28 to 507 of the family's 1533-position model. The record is from RNAcentral.